UAACUACGCAGGACUGACCCACCAAGGGAGC
RNAcentral lists this non-coding RNA (31 nucleotides) under Homo sapiens (human). The record is from RNAcentral. Lineage: Eukaryota; Metazoa; Chordata; Mammalia; Primates; Hominidae.